Molecule: ribosomal RNA, 730 nt
Filed under: Bacillus mojavensis
Lineage: Bacteria; Bacillati; Bacillota; Bacilli; Caryophanales; Bacillaceae
Description: bacterial SSU rRNA
Rfam family: Bacterial small subunit ribosomal RNA
Source: RNAcentral
UUUUGAUCCUGGCUCAGGACGAACGCUGGCGGCGUGCCUAAUACAUGCAAGUCGAGCGGACAGAUGGGAGCUUGCUCCCUGAUGUUAGCGGCGGACGGGUGAGUAACACGUGGGUAACCUGCCUGUAAGACUGGGAUAACUCCGGGAAACCGGGGCUAAUACCGGAUGCUUGUUUGAACCGCAUGGUUCAAACAUAAAAGGUGGCUUCGGCUACCACUUACAGAUGGACCCGCGGCGCAUUAGCUAGUUGGUGAGGUAACGGCUCACCAAGGCAACGAUGCGUAGCCGACCUGAGAGGGUGAUCGGCCACACUGGGACUGAGACACGGCCCAGACUCCUACGGGAGGCAGCAGUAGGGAAUCUUCCGCAAUGGACGAAAGUCUGACGGAGCAACGCCGCGUGAGUGAUGAAGGUUUUCGGAUCGUAAAGCUCUGUUGUUAGGGAAGAACAAGUACCGUUCGAAUAGGGCGGYACCUUGACGGUACCUAACCAGAAAGCCACGGCUAACUACGUGCCAGCAGCCGCGGUAAUACGUAGGUGGCAAGCGUUGUCCGGAAUUAUUGGGCGUAAAGGGCUCGCAGGCGGUUCCUUAAGUCUGAUGUGAAAGCCCCCGGCUCAACCGGGGAGGGUCAUUGGAAACUGGGGAACUUGAGUGCAGAAGAGGAGAGUGGAAUCCACGUGUAGCGGUAAAUGCGUAGAGAUGUGGAGGAACACCAGUGGCGAAGGCGAC